GUGGCCCUGGUCGAAGGUUUCCUCCUGAGUCAGGCAGAGGAGAGAAAGCAGGAAAAGGAUUGUUUUGAGGAAAUGGACCUGGAUUCCUGUGAGGCAGAGAGGCCUCCGUUGGACACCAGAGAGAGGCCACCGGGAGACAGAAUGAUGGUGGCAAGACCUCCUGAUCCAU
Podarcis muralis (Common wall lizard) is the source of this 169-nucleotide non-coding RNA. Lineage: Eukaryota; Metazoa; Chordata; Lepidosauria; Squamata; Lacertidae. The record is from RefSeq and is a predicted model, not a curated record.